AGUCGAGGGGUAUGGUUCUUCGGAACCAGAGACCGGCGCACGGGUGCGUAACGCGUAUGCAAUCUGCCUUUCACAGAGGGAUAGCCCAGAGAAAUUUGGAUUAAUACCUCAUAGUAUAGCGACAUCGCAUGAUGAUGCUAUUAAAGUCACAACGGUGAAAGAUGAGCAUGCGUCCCAUUAGCUAGUUGGUAAGGUAACGGCUUACCAAGGCAACGAUGGGUAGGGGUCCUGAGAGGGAGAUCCCCCACACUGGUACUGAGACACGGACCAGACUCCUACGGGAGGCAGCAGUGAGGAAUAUUGGUCAAUGGGCGCAAGCCUGAACCAGCCAUGCCGCGUGCAGGAUGACGGUCCUAUGGAUUGUAAACUGCUUUUGCACAGGAAGAAACACUGAUUCGUGAAUCAGCUUGACGGUACUGUGAGAAUAAGGAUCGGCUAACUCCGUGCCAGCAGCCGCGGUAAUACGGAGGAUCCAAGCGUUAUCCGGAAUCAUUGGGUUUAAAGGGUCCGUAGGCGGUCUGGUAAGUCAGUGGUGAAAGCCCAUCGCUCAACGGUGGAACGGCCAUUGAUACUGCUGGACUUGAAUUAUUAGGAAGUAACUAGAAUAUGUAGUGUAGCGGUGAAAUGCUUAGAGAUUGCAUGGAAUACCAAUUGCGAAGGCAGGUUACUACUAAUGGAUUGACGCUGAUGGACGAAAGCGUGGGUAGCGAACAGGAUUAGAUACCCUGGUAGUCCACGCCGUAAACGAUGGAUACUAGCUGUUGGAAGCAAUUUCAGUGGCUAAGCGAAAGUGAUAAGUAUCCCACCUGG
This 810-nucleotide ribosomal RNA is filed under the name uncultured bacterium. RNAcentral describes it as "bacterial SSU rRNA". It matches the Rfam family "Bacterial small subunit ribosomal RNA", at positions 60 to 876 of the family's 1533-position model. The record is from RNAcentral.